UGGCCAAGAAAAGUUUCCUCAGGGGAUAACAUUUGAACAGAGACUGGGCAGAUACUUGGGGGAAGAAUGUUCUAGACCCGUGGUCAGCUGACUGUGUCCCUUGAACCAAAUCUGGCUGGCCACUUGCUUUUGUAAACAGAGUGUGAUUGGAGCCCAGCCACGCCCAUUUGUUUCCCUGUCAUCCAUGGCUGCUUUCUCACUGUUGUGGCAGAGCUGAGGAAUUGUGACUGGGGCCUCCUGGCCCAACAGUAUCUGGCCCUGGACAGAGGAAGUUUGCCAGCUUCUGAUCCAGGCAGGAGCAGAGUGCAUAUGCCCUUCUUUACCUGUCUAUUCCCCCAGCGAUGGACACCUACGUUGUCCCAAACUCUUUGGCGCCACGAGAGACAACCCUUCAAUCAACAUCCUUCCCAGGUCACGGGGUUUACCUGUGUGGGAUUCCAGGAGUGGAGCUUCUUGAUAGAUUUAAGGUGAGCAGGGGAGCGGAAAACUGCCGACAGCCUAUUGUAAUCAGAUCAGAACACCUGCCUCGUCCCAUCCCACUGUACAGCACUCUUUUCAUACUGGGGUUGUUGAUUCUCUCGGGGACGAACGUGGCUUUGUUUAGGGCCUGUCCUACCUCUGGCUCAUUCAUUCUCAGGGGUUUGCCUGUGUCAUCAAACGUGGAGAAUGAAUGAACCAGGCAUCUGGGACCAGGGACCACAUUUACACAGGCACUGGGAAAACCAGAAAGGCCUGGGAAAUGUCAGGGGCGGGGAGGGGAUGUGGUGCUGUUCUGAACUGCGGUGUUGUAACCUCUCCGUAGUAUAGAUUUUUAGAAUGUGUGUUUGUGUUUCAUCUUCCUUCAAGGUCCUCCAGUCUAGCCCAGAAGCUUCCUGGGCUUCUGGGAAAGAAAGUCCAGAUUUUUCUCUGGACUUUAUAGCAUGUAGUAACUGUGCCAUUCAUCAGCAAUCAAUCACGCAUCGCCCCGUGCCAUCUCUCUAAGCUUGUGCGAGAACACAGGGUUCUUGGUUAGACCGUGGCUCCCAUGCCUGGCUGGUCCCUGCAUGGCUGACUCCGGGAUUUUAUGUGGCAGGUUCAGUGAAGAUGGAUGGAUUGAUUGACGGCCCAGACCAUUGAUAGGACAGCAACGGCGGAAUCAGAGGUUUCUGGCUGACUCGGUGGGUGCUUUGUACCAGGAAAGGACAAGAAAGAGGAUGGGAAGGAGGACUGAUCCACGUUCCCACCAGGAAGCUUAGUGGAACCCCCGUAUGCCACCUGGACCCCCUGGAAGGACCUGGCCAAGGCUGAACCACCUCUUGAGAGGCAAGAGCUCCAAAUUUGAUCAGAAAUUCUUGGCUGGGCAUGGUGCCUCAUGCCUAUAAUCCCAACACUUUGGGAAACCGAGGUGGGAGGAUCGCUUGAGCCUGGGAGUUCAAGACCAGCCUGGGCAAUAUAAGGAGACCCCAUCUCUAAAGAAUAGUAAUAAUAAAAUAAAAAAUUAGCAGGGCAUGGUGGCAUGUGCCUGUAGUCCCAGCUACCCAGGAGGCUGAGGCAAGAGGAUGGCUGGAGCCUGGGACGUUGAGGCUGCAAUGAACUGUGAUUACCCCACUGCACUCCAGCCUGGGCAACAGAGCGAGAGACCCUGUCUCAAAAUAAUACUACUAAUAAUCUUAUUUUGGAGAAUAAAGAAACCUCUGGAUUUGAGGAGCCAUUUGGAUAGAAAGCAAAGACCUUCACAAUGAGAAAUAGUCUGUGUUGACCUGAAGGAGCAGAGGGAUGCAUCACUGGAGGUGACCUACAGUUGGAGAAGACUCAUUAUGCCAGACCUUGUCCUUCUUCCUUGUGGAAAAUGUUUCCCCUGCUGCUGCUGCUCAUGAGACUCUUCCCCCUCCCUGUCUCAGGCAACCAAAGGGCUUUCUACCACACCCUUUCUUGCCCCCCGCCUCCCAUGUCUGCUGUGCCUUUGUACUCAGCAAUUCUUGUUUGCUCCAUUAUCUUCCAGCCGGAUACAGAGUGAAUAGUUAACCACACUUAGGUCAAAUAGGAUCUGAAUUUUUGUUCCUGCUCCAUCUAAAGAGGCCAGUGUUUGUGCGUUGCAAGCAGCCUCGGAAUAGUAACUCUUCUCAUUUGUUUGGGAUCUCAUUGUAUUCCUCAGCCAUCAAGUUCCAGAAUGAUACAUGGAUCAGUGCAGAAGUUCAUCAGGCUCUCGGACCUUAGGGCUGUUGGAGAAGUCUUCAGCAGGGGAACUGAUGGUGAAGGCUGGUGUUCUCCAUCCUCAACUUUCUUUGCUUGGAUCACACAUAAGUAUACAUUUGGAAGGGCAAAAAAUGAACACUGUUGUUCACUGCAGCCAUGUUUUGUGACACAGAUGCAGUCUGCUGUGAAGACCUUCUCGCAAGUGGCAGUUGGGGGUCCAUGCCAGAUCAUGGUGCUUCGUGACAGACUAACAGCUACCAGGGAUGGUGGCACUUAGUGAGGACCCUCCUCCCCCAGUGUGUGCUGAUGACACAUACACACCUGACAAUAGCUUGAGUCUUCUCUGUUCUUUUUUACUCUGUGGCCACCAUACACAUGAUUUAAAACCCUUCCUAAAUAUCUAUCAUGGUUCACCCUUGUCCAAAUGCAGAGUCAAAGCUACUUGUACUUUAUUAUUAUUUCCAAGGCAAAUAGAUGGCUUGCUUUUUACAAAAAGAAUUAAAGCUUUUGUAUGUUGCAGUUG
This is a non-coding RNA of Macaca mulatta (Rhesus monkey), 2698 nucleotides long. The record is from RefSeq and is a predicted model, not a curated record. NCBI's taxonomy places the organism in Eukaryota, Metazoa, Chordata, Mammalia, Primates, Cercopithecidae.